GCUGUUAGCUCAGUUGGUAGAGCAGCGGACUCUUAAUCCGUAGGUCGAGUGUUCGAGCCACUCACAGCCCACCA
This 74-nucleotide transfer RNA is filed under the name Achromobacter sp. RNAcentral's name for it is "tRNA-Lys". It matches the Rfam family "tRNA". Rfam says of the family: Transfer RNA (tRNA) molecules are approximately 80 nucleotides in length. Their secondary structure includes four short double-helical elements and three loops (D, anti-codon, and T loops). Further hydrogen bonds mediate the characteristic L-shaped molecular structure. tRNAs have two regions of fundamental functional importance: the anti-codon, which is responsible for specific mRNA codon recognition, and the 3' end, to which the tRNAs corresponding amino acid is attached (by aminoacyl-tRNA synthetases). tRNAs cope with the degeneracy of the genetic code in two manners: having more than one tRNA (with a specific anti-codon) for a particular amino acid; and 'wobble' base-pairing, i.e. permitting non-standard base-pairing at the 3rd anti-codon position. The record is from RNAcentral. Lineage: Bacteria; Pseudomonadati; Pseudomonadota; Betaproteobacteria; Burkholderiales; Alcaligenaceae.